This 701-nucleotide long non-coding RNA is filed under the name Homo sapiens (human). Its description in RNAcentral is "non-protein coding FOXP1-AS1:5". Lineage: Eukaryota; Metazoa; Chordata; Mammalia; Primates; Hominidae. The record is from RNAcentral.
CCCAAGUGUAGCUGGGACUACAGGCACACGCCACCAUGCCCAGCUAAUUUUUGUUUUUUUUAAUGUAGAGAUAAGAGUCUCACUAUGUUGCCCAGGUUGAUCUCAAACUCCUGGUCUCAAGAGAUCCUCCCACCUCAGCCUCCCAGAGUCAGAACCCAGAUCCUGGAACUCUUCUUUUCUUCUUCUAUACCACUGCUUCCUUGCAGAUACCAGGUUUCGCCAUGUUGACCAGGCUGGUCUCAAACUCCCAACCUCAAGUGAUCCACCUGCCUUGGCCUCCCAGAGUGCUGGGAUUACAGGUGUGAGCCACCAUGCCCGGCCUAAAAGAUAAGAGAUCAAGAUAUAUACAAAUUAGUCUUUGAAAGAUCUUUCACCUUGUUCAAAGUUAAGAUCCUGUGAACACCAGAAUUGUUCCAUGGCCUCUUCACUAUUGAUUGCAACAGUAUCAUUUACCUGAAGUUACACAGUGACCACAAAAACCAUGUCCAGGACACCAAAUUUCUACUGCGAACUCUAGGUCCUCACGAGCCUUUCUCUGCGAGUCCAAAAUUCAGCCACAUUUCCUAAGAGGCACCUGUACUUGUCUAUUUCAAUGCAGCCAGAAGCUGACAACGGCCCAGGAACCAGGACUGCUUUCAGGAGGCGCUCAGAAGGGCAGCAAAGUACCCUCUCAACAUUAGUAAAAUGAAACAAAAGUGUCA